Molecule: ribosomal RNA, 465 nt
Filed under: uncultured bacterium
Lineage: Bacteria
Description: partial 16S ribosomal RNA
Rfam family: Bacterial small subunit ribosomal RNA
Source: RNAcentral
GACGAACGCUGGCGGCGUGCUUAACACAUGCAAGUCGAACGGAAAGGCCCUGCUUGCAGGGUACUCGAGUGGCGAACGGGUGAGUAACACGUGGGUGAUCUGCCCUGCACUUCGGGAUAAGCCUGGGAAACUGGGUCUAAUACCGGAUAGGAGCCAUUUUUAGUGUGAUGGUUGGAAAGUUUUUUCGGUGUAGGAUGAGCUCGCGGCCUAUCAGCUUGUUGGUGGGGUAAUGGCCUACCAAGGCGGCGACGGGUAGCCGGCCUGAGAGGGUGGACGGCCACAUUGGGACUGAGAUACGGCCCAGACUCCUACGGGAGGCAGCAGUGGGGAAUAUUGCAUAAUGGGCGCAAGCCUGAUGCAGCGACGCCGCGUGGGGGAUGACGGCCUUCGGGUUGUAAACUCCUUUCGCUAGGGACGAAGCUUUUUGUGACGGUACCUAGAGAAGAAGCACCGGCUAACUACGUG